CGCGGCGCUGAGAGCUCGGCGCGGGAGUUGGCAGCGGGAGGAGAGGUGGCGGCGGACCCGGACGGCCCGGGCUCCGGAGCAAGUUCCAGCUGCUGGCCCUGCCGGGAGACGCAGGAUGGGGGAGAACAUUAAGAACCUACUAUGCAUCAGAUAUGACAUCAGGCUCUUGAGGAAGUCUUUAUUUGCAUCUCUACCUGUUAUCUUUAUUUUACAAGUGAGGUAAUGGAGACGAUCUGAGGCAAGCGUGUACCCUUUGAUGCUGCAGGCUGUCCCAGUAUGCUGCCUAGAGGAGCACAGCAUCCCCACUACCUUGAGUUCCACUCAGAUGGACUCUAGCUGAAAAAAGAAAAUCCCACAAAAAAAACUAAUAGAAUAAUCUAUUCUGCCAUUGUUGUGCCUUUGUUUUAGCCCAGUCAUGGGAACUGUCAGAACUGGAGUUGCUAAAUAGAGCUAUGCAGUCUUUCUCUGAUAAUGUGUAGUAAAAUGUACUACAACUUAUAUAAUUCAGUUCCAAGAACUAGAGGUCAGAAAUUACCACAUCGGCUAGAGGAAAUUUUUCCUUUUCAUGGAAUGUGGAAUAAAAUUAUAAAUCAUACCCUUAACAUUGUAGCAGUUGUAUUACAAGAUGUGGGCCCCGCCCUGCCUUUAUCUCUCUGACACUCUGCAACCCUUCUCUCUGUUCCGAGGAAUAUUGGGCUGAUAGGACUUUUUUAACUAAUGUCCCCCUGACUAGCCUAUUUUAAAUUGUAACACACCCACUCUCAAAUGUUCACUAUUCCCCCCUUAUUUUUCUUCAGGGCAUUUAUCUCCUCAUCCAACAUAUCACAUAUUUUGCGUGUUUAUCUUCCGUAUGAGGUUAGAGAUCUUUGCCGGUCUUGUUUUCUGCUGUAUCCCUUGCACCUGGAAGAGUGUGUGGCACAUAGUAGGUGCUCAGUAAAUAUUUGUUGAAUAAAUGGCCCCAUUUCUUUCUUUUUUUAAUGUAAGAUUAUAUCAUAAAAAGAAAGUGACUUGAAACUAACAACAGUUUCACAUAAAUUGUGGCUCCAUAAGUUGAUGACUGGGUUUUCCCAAGUGGGAGGGAGUGCUUUCUGGAGCUACCUUUUGUUCUUGCUUUGGAUAGGUUUUCAUUCUGAGAAUUGAGGCGAUGAAUAUUACUACAAUCCCAAUUACCUUGUUUUCUGGGAUAAUUGGAACAUGUUCUCUGUAGAUAGUGACAUCCUUUGGGGAAUAAACUGCUGUCUAGGUAAUUGAAAGACAAAGCAAGGGAAAUUCCCUGGGGACAGGCUGCCUGACAAGGAUUGGUACCCAGUCAUCUCUAAAGGUUUGGCUACCUGACUCUUGUCUGGAAACAGCCCUCUUCUUCCCAAGGUCAUCACCCCUAAUGCUCUAUGAUACCCCUCUCCCUCAACAAAAACCCUCCUGGGACUUCCCAUCAUGAAAACUAAAAUCCAAAAUCCUUACCAUGGCCUAUAAGGCCCUGCAUGAUCUGGCCCCUGACAACUCCUAUCCCUUCCCACUUUGCCAAGCCUGCCUCUGUCUACUACUAGAACCUCCCAGCUACUGCCUCAGGGUCUUUGUACUGCUGUUCCCUCCACUGGUCCUAGAGAUAAGCACAGGACUCAAGCCCUCACCACUCAGGUCUUCGCUCCAGUGUCUCCUCAGUAGCGACUACACUGACCAUGCUAUUUAAGUUAAACCCCUCACCCUGCUAUCCCCACACUCCAUAUCCUUUCCCUCUGGUCUUUCACCAUAGUAAUCAUGUUUGUUUUACAUAUUAACUUGUCUGUUUGUUUCCUUCCACUAGAAUAUAAACUCUAUGAGGACAGGGAUUGUUGACUUUUCACUGCUAUAUGCCCAGCACACCUAGAAUAGUGCCUCACACACAGAAAGCAUGCUGAAAAUAUUUGUGAACUAAAUACCUCGUAAAUUAUGUUGAACUCUUCCAUAUCUUUACUUAUUGUUUGUGUGCUUGAACUACCAAUAAUUGCAAAAGGUAUAUUGAAACCUCCCACUGUAAGAGGAAUUUUGUCAGUUUCUCCCUACAAUUCUAUUUCUGUUUUUAUGUUUUUAGGAUAUUUGUUUGGGCACACAGAGUUUAGCAUUGUUAUAACUUCCUGAUGGUGUUGAAAGCUUUUUAAGUAAUAUGGGAGAUGAAUUGCCAAAAUUGCCUGAAUUUUCCACCCCUCCCUGUACACACACCUCUUGCAAUGUGUCUUUCCAAUUCCUCCCAGAAUCUGGGCUGGCCUUGUAACUUGCUUCUGCCAAAAGAAUGUGGCAGAAGUGAUAAAUAGUUCUGAGCCUGAGCCUUCAUAAACCUUGAAUGCUUCCACAUUCUCUCUUGGAUCCCUGCCUCCACCAUGAGAACAGGCCUGGGCUAGCCUGCUGGAGGAUGAGAAGCUAUAUGGAAAAGAGCUGAGGACAUCCUAUACCAGUCAACAGCCAGCAGACCCCAAACAGGCAAGCCCAGCCAGGCUCAGCAUAGCCACCCACCUGACCUGCAGCUGCUCACAGAUGCAUGUGUGAGCCCACCUGGGCCCAGAAGAACUGCCCAGCUGACUUGUAGACUCAUGAGCAAUAAUAACUAGCUAUUAUAGUAAGCCUGUGAGUUUUGAAGUGGCUUGUUAUACAGCAUUAUUGUGGCAAUAGAUAAUUGAUGGUUAAUGCCUCCUCAUUUCGGUCGCAGCCUCAGAAAGGCUUUUCCGACUACCCAGGCAAUCUAAAUCUGCCUCCCAGUCUCUGUAUAAUACGGGUGUAUUAUUUUCUCAAUAACGCUUAUCACUCUCCAAAAUGAUUUGUUGACUACUAUCUGUCUCCCACACUAGACUGUCAGCGGUAUGAUGUCAGAGACCUUGUCCACCUGCUCAUCCUCAGCAUCCAGCACGGUACUGCACUGUCCAGCUGUGUGUGUCCACCAAGCACUGGAAAUGUGGCUAGUCCAACCUGAGAUGUUCUGGAAAUACAAAGCACUGGGUUUCCAAGGCUUAGUACAAAAAUUGUAUAUAUAAAGUAUCUCAAUUGUUAUACCGAUAAAAUGUUGAAAUAAUAAUAUUUUGAAUAUAUUGUGUUAAGUAGAAUAUGUUAUUAAAGUUAAUUUCAUCUCC
Lagenorhynchus albirostris (white-beaked dolphin) is the source of this 3101-nucleotide long non-coding RNA. RefSeq lists it as uncharacterized. The transcript has 3 exons. Lineage: Eukaryota; Metazoa; Chordata; Mammalia; Artiodactyla; Delphinidae. The record is from RefSeq and is a predicted model, not a curated record.